Molecule: ribosomal RNA, 446 nt
Filed under: uncultured bacterium
Lineage: Bacteria
Description: partial 16S ribosomal RNA
Rfam family: Bacterial small subunit ribosomal RNA
Source: RNAcentral
CCUACGGGUGGCAGCAGUCGAGAAUUAUUCACAAUGGGGGAAACCCUGAUGGUGCGACGCCGCGUGGGGGAAUGAAGGUCUUCGGAUUGUAAACCCCUGUCAUGUGGGAGCAAAUUAAAAAGAUAGUACCACAAGAGGAAGAGACGGCUAACUCUGUGCCAGCAGCCGCGGUAAUACAGAGGUCUCAAGCGUUGUUCGGAAUCACUGGGCGUAAGGCGUGAGUAGGCUGUUUCGUAAGUCGUGUGUGAAAGGCGCGGGCUCAACCCGCGGACGGCACAUGAUACUGCGAGACUAGAGUAAUGGAGGGGGAACCGGAAUUCUCGGUGUAGCAGUGAAAUGCGUAGAUAUCGAGAGGAACACUCGUGGCGAAGGCGGGUUCCUGGACAUUAACUGACGCUGAGGCACGAAGGCCAGGGGAGCGAAAGGGAUUAGAUACCCCAGAAGUC